RNAcentral lists this unclassified non-coding RNA (209 nucleotides) under rhizosphere metagenome. Its description in RNAcentral is "partial ribosomal RNA internal transcribed spacer region". The record is from RNAcentral.
GUAGGUGAACCUGCGGAAGGAUCAUUACAUUUGCCCCUUGCGGGCGUGAGGUUGUAGCCAGCUACAGCCUCUCUUACACCCCCCAUUUGUGUACCCGUGUUUCCUCGGCGGCUCACCCGCCGUUUGGACAACCCAUAACCCUAUGUAUUUGCAUUCAGCGUCUGAAAUCAUAAUAAUUACAACUUUUAACAACGGAUCUCUUGGUUCUG